This 305-nucleotide ribosomal RNA is filed under the name uncultured bacterium. Its description in RNAcentral is "bacterial SSU rRNA". It matches the Rfam family "Bacterial small subunit ribosomal RNA", at positions 333 to 652 of the family's 1533-position model. The record is from RNAcentral.
CAUGUCCUACGGGAGGCAGCAGUGGGGAAUAUUGGGCAAUGGGCGCAAGCCUGACCCAGCAACGCCGCGUGAAGGAAGAAGGCUUUCGGGUUGUAAACUUCUUUUCUCAGGGACGAAGCAAGUGACGGUACCUGAGGAAUAAGCCACGGCUAACUACGUGCCAGCAGCCGCGGUAAUACGUAGGAUGCGAGCGUUAUCCGGAAUUACUGGGUGUAAAGGGAGCGCAGGCGGGACUGCAAGUUGGAUGUGAAAUACCGCAGCUUAACUGCGGAGCUGCAUCCAAAACUGUAGGUCUUGAGGGGAGG